This 80-nucleotide transfer RNA is filed under the name Felis catus (domestic cat). It matches the Rfam family "tRNA". Rfam says of the family: Transfer RNA (tRNA) molecules are approximately 80 nucleotides in length. Their secondary structure includes four short double-helical elements and three loops (D, anti-codon, and T loops). Lineage: Eukaryota; Metazoa; Chordata; Mammalia; Carnivora; Felidae. The record is from Rfam by way of RNAcentral.
GCCUGGGUGGCUCAGUCGAUUGAGCAUCCGACUUCAACCUAUGAUCUUGCAAUUUGUGGGUUCAAGCCCCAUCUCAGGGC